This 229-nucleotide non-coding RNA is filed under the name Bacillus sp. (in: firmicutes). RNAcentral's name for it is "Bacillus sp. T-box sequence". It matches the Rfam family "T-box leader". Rfam says of the family: Uncharged tRNA acts as the effector for transcription antitermination of genes in the T-box leader family. Lineage: Bacteria; Bacillati; Bacillota; Bacilli; Caryophanales; Bacillaceae. The record is from RNAcentral.
GAAAUCGUGUUGAAAGGGAAAAGUAAGAAGAAUAUAUGACUUUGUAGAGAGAAUCACCAAUGGCUGAAAGUGAUUUAAGCAUAUACUUCCGAACAUGCACCCUUGAGCCUUUUCUUGAAGGAUAAGUAGGGAAAAGCGGUUUGCGGCGUUACACGCAAAAAAGAUGAGCUUCAGUAAGGAAAUAGGAAGCUUAAAACAGAGUGGAACCACGUUUUAGAACGUCUCUGUG